This is a long non-coding RNA of Daphnia carinata, 350 nucleotides long. RefSeq lists it as uncharacterized. NCBI's taxonomy places the organism in Eukaryota, Metazoa, Arthropoda, Branchiopoda, Diplostraca, Daphniidae. The transcript has 3 exons. The record is from RefSeq and is a predicted model, not a curated record.
AGUUAGUCGAGUAGCGUGGCUGGAGAAAAACGCGUGGCUGGAGAAAAAUAUGUUAAAAUGGAUAAGAUAAUAAAAGAUAAGGAUGGCUCAAUUAUUGUUCGUAAUCAGUCCAUGCAGCGAUGGAACUGAACAAUUGUGGGACCGUAUUUGGGCCAAAAAUGGGUGUGGUACGGAAACCCAGAAAUGGCACGAGUUCAACCUAAAACAUGGAUUAGAAUUUUAGCAGGGGAUCAAGUCAAGUCUGGAAGUGUUACAGGAUGGAAGAGUCAGCCUGUAGUUGAAAAAACACUGAGAUUACAUUACCGUUAAGGUGUGAGGUAAAGUAAUAGAGUAAUGCAAAUUGUCUAAUG